GACGAACGCUGGCGGCGUGCCUAAUACAUGCAAGUAGAACGCUGAAGGAGGAGCUUGCUUCUCUGGAUGAGUUGCGAACGGGUGAGUAACGCGUAGGUAACCUGCCUGGUAGCGGGGGAUAACUAUUGGAAACGAUAGCUAAUACCGCAUAAGAGUAGAUGUUGCAUGACAUUUGCUUAAAAGGUGCAAUUGCAUCACUACCAGAUGGACCUGCGUUGUAUUAGCUAGUUGGUGGGGUAACGGCUCACCAAGGCGACGAUACAUAGCCGACCUGAGAGGGUGAUCGGCCACACUGGGACUGAGACACGGCCCAGACUCCUACGGGAGGCAGCAGUAGGGAAUCUUCGGCAAUGGACGGAAGUCUGACCGAGCAACGCCGCGUGAGUGAAGAAGGUUUUCGGAUCGUAAAGCUCUGUUGUAAGAGAAGAACGAGUGUGAGAGUGGAAAGUUCACACUGUGACGGUAUCUUACCAGAAAGGGACGGCUAUCUACGUG
This 495-nucleotide ribosomal RNA is filed under the name uncultured bacterium. Its description in RNAcentral is "partial 16S ribosomal RNA". It matches the Rfam family "Bacterial small subunit ribosomal RNA", at positions 28 to 507 of the family's 1533-position model. The record is from RNAcentral.